CCCUUAGAUGUUCUGGGCCGCACGCGCGUUACAAUGAUGCACUCAACAGGCAUAUAACCUUGGCCGAGAGGCCUGGGUAAUCCCGUUAACUUGCAUCGUGUUAGGGAUAGAUUAUUGCAAUUAUUAAUCUUGAACGAGGAAUUCCUAGUAAUCGCAGAUCAUCAAUCUGCAAUGAUUACGUCCCUGCCCUUUGUACACACCGCCCGUCGCACCUACCGAUUGAAUGGUCCGGUGAAGCCUCCGGAUUGGCGCGCACCUCGGUGCCGCCGAGAAGUUGGCUAAACCUUACCAUUUAGAGGAAGGUGAAGUCGUAACA
Molecule: ribosomal RNA, 316 nt
Filed under: uncultured eukaryote
Lineage: Eukaryota
Description: partial 18S ribosomal RNA
Rfam family: Eukaryotic small subunit ribosomal RNA
Source: RNAcentral